GACGAACGCUGGCGGCGUGCCUAAUACAUGCAAGUAGAACGCUGAAGAGAGGAGCUUACUCUUCUUGGAUGAGUUGCGAACGGGUGAGUAACGCGUAGGUAACCUGCCUUGCAGCGGGGGAUAACUAUUGGAAACGAUAGCUAAUACCGCAUAACAAUGGAUGACACAUGUCAUUUAUUUGAAAGGGGCAAUUGCUCCACUACAAGAUGGACCUGCGUUGUAUUAGCUAGUAGGUGAGGUAAUGGCUCACCUAGGCGACGAUACAUAGCCGACCUGAGAGGGUGAUCGGCCACACUGGGACUGAGACACGGCCCAGACUCCUACGGGAGGCAGCAGUAGGGAAUCUUCGGCAAUGGGGGCAACCCUGACCGAGCAACGCCGCGUGAGUGAAGAAGGUUUUCGGAUCGUAAAGCUCUGUUGUAAGUCAAGAACGGGUGUGAGAGUGGAAAGUUCACACUGUGACGGUAGCUUACCAGAAAGGGACGGCUAACUACGUG
RNAcentral lists this ribosomal RNA (497 nucleotides) under uncultured bacterium. Its description in RNAcentral is "partial 16S ribosomal RNA". It matches the Rfam family "Bacterial small subunit ribosomal RNA", at positions 28 to 507 of the family's 1533-position model. The record is from RNAcentral.